RNAcentral lists this ribosomal RNA (471 nucleotides) under uncultured bacterium. RNAcentral's name for it is "partial 16S ribosomal RNA". It matches the Rfam family "Bacterial small subunit ribosomal RNA", at positions 28 to 507 of the family's 1533-position model. The record is from RNAcentral.
GACGAACGCUGGCGGCGUGCUUAACACAUGCAAGUCGAACGAUGAAGCGGUGCUUGCACCGUGGAUUAGUGGCGAACGGGUGAGUAAUACGUGAGUGACCUACCUUUGACUCUGGGAUAAGCCUGGUAAACUGGGUCUAAUACCGGAUACGACCAAUCUCUGCAUGGGGUGUUGGUGGAAAGCGUUAUGGAGUGGUUUUAGAUGGGCUCACGGCCUAUCAGCUUGUUGGUGAGGUAAUGGCUUACCAAGGCGACGACGGGUAGCCGGCCUGAGAGGGUGACCGGCCACACUGGGACUGAGACACGGCCCAGACUCCUACGGGAGGCAGCAGUGGGGAAUAUUGCACAAUGGGCGCAAGCCUGAUGCAGCGACGCCGCGUGAGGGAUGACGGCCUUCGGGUUGUAAACCUCUGUUAGCAUCGAAGAAGCGAAAGUGACGGUAGGUGCAGAGAAAGCGCCGGCUAACUACGUG